Molecule: non-coding RNA, 170 nt
Filed under: pig gut metagenome
Source: RNAcentral
UCGUAUCGUAGAUAUAGAAGUGGUUAAAAGGGAAACAGGUGUGAAUCCUGUACGAUCUCGUCACUGUAUUGAUGGAGUGCCUAUGCGUUGCAGUUUUGCAGCCACUGACGUAAGUUGGGAAGGUAGCAUAGGUAUGUUGAUGUCUAAGCCAGGAAACCUGCCAGUUAUUU